This 1483-nucleotide ribosomal RNA is filed under the name uncultured bacterium. Its description in RNAcentral is "bacterial SSU rRNA". It matches the Rfam family "Bacterial small subunit ribosomal RNA". The record is from RNAcentral.
GACGAACGCUGGCGGCGUGCCUAAUACAUGCAAGUCGAACGCUUCUUUCCUCCCGAGUGCUUGCACUCAAUUGGAAAGAGGAGUGGCGGACGGGUGAGUAACACGUGGGUAACCUACCCAUCAGAGGGGGAUAACACUUGGAAACAGGUGCUAAUACCGCAUAACAGUUUAUGCCGCAUGGCAUAAGAGUGAAAGGCGCUUUCGGGUGUCGCUGAUGGAUGGACCCGCGGUGCAUUAGCUAGUUGGUGAGGUAACGGCUCACCAAGGCCACGAUGCAUAGCCGACCUGAGAGGGUGAUCGGCCACACUGGGACUGAGACACGGCCCAGACUCCUACGGGAGGCAGCAGUAGGGAAUCUUCGGCAAUGGACGAAAGUCUGACCGAGCAACGCCGCGUGAGUGAAGAAGGUUUUCGGAUCGUAAAACUCUGUUGUUAGAGAAGAACAAGGACGUUAGUAACUGAACGCCCCCUGACGGUAUCUAACCAGAAAGCCACGGCUAACUACGUGCCAGCAGCCGCGGUAAUACGUAGGUGGCAAGCGUUGUCCGGAUUUAUUGGGCGUAAAGCGAGCGCAGGCGGUUUCUUAAGUCUGAUGUGAAAGCCCCCGGCUCAACCGGGGAGGGUCAUUGGAAACUGGGAGACUUGAGUGCAGAAGAGGAGAGUGGAAUUCCAUGUGUAGCGGUGAAAUGCGUAGAUAUAUGGAGGAACACCAGUGGCGAAGGCGGCUCUCUGGUCUGUAAUGGACGUGGAGGCUCGAAAGCGUGGGGAGCAAACAGGAUUAGAUACCCUGGUAGUCCACGCCGUAAACGAUGAGUGCUAAUUGUUGGAGGGUUUCCGCCCUUCAGUGCUGCAGCAAACGCAUUAAGCACUCCGCCUGGGGAGUACGACCGCAAGGUUGAAACUCAAAGGAAUUGACGGGGGCCCGCACAAGCGGUGGAGCAUGUGGUUUAAUUCGAAGCAACGCGAAGAACCUUACCAGGUCUUGACAUCCUUUGACCACUCUAGAGAUAGAGCUUUCCCUUCGGGGACAAAGUGACAGGUGGUGCAUGGUUGUCGUCAGCUCGUGUCGUGAGAUGUUGGGUUAAGUCCCGCAACGAGCGCAACCCUUAUUGUUAGUUGCCAUCAUUUAGUUGAGCACUCUAGCGAGACUGCCGGUGACAAACCGGAGGAAGGUGGGGAUGACGUCAAAUCAUCAUGCCCCUUAUGACCUGGGCUACACACGUGCUACAAUGGGAAGUACAACGAGUCGCUAGACCGCGAGGUCAUGCAAAUCUCUUAAAGCUUCUCUCAGUUCGGAUUGCAGGCUGCAACUCGCCUGCAUGAAGCCGGAAUCGCUAGUAAUCGCGGAUCAGCACGCCGCGGUGAAUACGUUCCCGGGCCUUGUACACACCGCCCGUCACACCACGAGAGUUUGUAACACCCGAAGUCGGUGAGGUAACCUUUUUGGAGCCAGCCGCCUAAGGUGGGAUAGAUGAUUGGGGUG